RNAcentral lists this unclassified non-coding RNA (328 nucleotides) under Hevea brasiliensis (rubber tree). Lineage: Eukaryota; Viridiplantae; Streptophyta; Magnoliopsida; Malpighiales; Euphorbiaceae. The record is from RNAcentral.
GGCGGUUUUAGGUGCUGUUGCCUUUAUCUCUAUUUAUUUGGUGUAUGCUGCUUUUGUUGCUGCAAAUGAGAUGCUUAGGGAUCGCGAGACUAGUUUGAAGUUGGAUUUAAUUGCUCCUUUGUUACCAGUUACAUCGAGUAGCAUAGAUGGAGAGAGCGAUUCUUCUUUAGGUGGGCCGGAAUCAGCAGAUGGAUUGCUGCAGCUACAAGCUCCGCUGCCACAUUGGAUGUGGUCUUCAUAUGUCGCAAUCUUCUCUGAUGAAGUUGUGAAGGAUAAUUCUGUAGGAAAUAGUCCAAUGGAUUUGUGGGGUUGGAAUGAACAUGAUGAU